UUCGAUCCCGGCUCAGAUUGAACGCUGGCGUGAUGCUUUGCACAUGCAAGUCGUAACUGGCAGCACGGACUUCGGUCUGGUGGCGAGUGGCGAACGGGUGAGUAAUGCAUCGGAACGUGCCUAGUAGCGGGGGAUAACUACGCGAAAGCGGUAGCCAAUACCGCAUACGCCCCUUCGGGGGAAAGCGGGGGACCUUCGCCUCGCACUAUUAGAGCGGCCGAUAUCGGAUUAGCUAGUCAGGUAACGGAUUUGCCCAAGGCGACGAUCCGUAGCUGGUUUUUGAGGACGACCAGCCACACUGGGACUGAGACACGGCCCAGACUCCCUACGGAGGCAGCAGGGGAAUUUUGGACAAUGGGAAACCCUGAUCCAGCCAUCCUGCGUGUGCGAUGAAGGCUUCCCGGGUUGUAAAAGCACUUUUUGGCAGGAAAGAAACGGCACGGGAUAAUACCCCGUGCAACUGACGGUACCUGCAGAAUAAGCACCGGCUAACCAGAUGUGCCAGCAGCCGCGGUAAUAUUGUGGUGCAAGCGUUAAUCGGAAUUACUGGGCGUAAAAGCGCGCAGGCGGUUCGGAAACAGCAUGUGAAAUCCUGCAUUUAACUUUGGAACUGCAUUUUUAAUCACUGAGCUAGAGUGUGUCAGAGGGAGGUGGAAUUCCCGCGUGUAGCAGUGAAAUGCGUAGACAUGCGGAGGAACACCGAUGGCGAAGGCAGCCCCUGGGAUAACACUGACGCUCAUGCACGAAAGCGUGGGGAGCAAACAGGAUUAGAUACCCUGGUAGUCCACGCCCUAAACGAUGUCAACUAGCUACAAGUUGGGGUUUUCCGCCUUGUAGCGCAGCUAACGCGGUGAAGUUGACCGCCUGGGGAGUACGGCUGCAAGAUUAAAACUCAAAGGAAUUGACGGGAUUCAUGCACAAGCGGUGGAUGUGAUGUGGAUUGAAUUGAUGCAACGCGAAAAACCUUACCUAAUUCUUGACAUGUCUUUGGAAUCCCGAAGAGAUUUGGAGAUGCUCGCAAGAGAACCGGAACACAGGUGUCGCACGGUUGUCGUCAGCUCGUGUCAGAGAUGUUGCCAAGUCCGCAACGAGCGCAACCCUUGUCAUUAUUGCUGCUGAAAGGGCACUUAAUGAGACUGCCGGUGACAAAACCGGAGGAAGGUGGGGAUGACGUCAAGUCCUCAUGGCUCCUUAUGUGUAGGGCUUCACACGUCAUACAAUGGUCGGGACAGAGGGUCGCCAACUCCGCGAGGGGGAGCCAAUCCCAGAAACCUGAUCGUAGUCUGGAUCGCAGUCUGCAACUCGACUGCGUGAAGUCGGAAUCGCUAGUAAUCGCGGAUCAGCAUGUCGCGGUGAAUACGUUCCCGGGUCUUGUACACACCGGCCCGUCACACCAUGGGAGUGCGGGCUUUACCAGAAGUAGCUAGCCUGGGUUCGUGCGAGGGCGAUUACCACGGUAGGAUUCAUGACUGUGUGAAGUCGUAACAAGGCAG
Molecule: ribosomal RNA, 1493 nt
Filed under: uncultured Bordetella sp.
Lineage: Bacteria; Pseudomonadati; Pseudomonadota; Betaproteobacteria; Burkholderiales; Alcaligenaceae
Description: partial 16S-23S ribosomal RNA intergenic spacer
Rfam family: Bacterial small subunit ribosomal RNA
Source: RNAcentral